UGGGAGGUCCUACCUGCCCAGUGACACUAAGUUUAACGGCCGCGGUAUCCUGACCGUGCUAAGGUAGCGCAAUCACUUGUCUUUUAAAUGAGGACCUGUAUGAAUGGUGGAACGAGGGCUUAACUGUCUCCCCCUUCUAGCCAGUGAAAUUGAUCUACCCGUGCAGAAGCGGGUAUAAUACUACAAGACGAGAAGACCCUAUGGAGCUUAAGACAUAAGGUCAACUAAGUCAAGACACUUAUUAAAAAGGACUAAACAAAAUUAGUAGUAUGACCCUAGUCUUCGGUUGGGGCGACCGCGGGGGAAAAUAAAGCCCCCAUGAAGAUUGGGAUUAUCCUAAAACUAAGAGGGACACCUCUAAGCCGCAGAACAUCUGACUAUCAAGAUCCAGCACUUACUGCCGAUCAACGAAUCAAGUUACCCUAGGGAUAACAGCGCAAUCCCCUUCAAGAGUCCAUAUCGACAAGGGGGUUUACGACCUCGAUGUUGGAUCAGGACAUCCUAAUGGUGCAGCCGCUAUUAAGGGUUCGUUUGUUCAACGA
Molecule: ribosomal RNA, 542 nt
Filed under: Gasteropelecus maculatus (spotted hatchetfish)
Lineage: Eukaryota; Metazoa; Chordata; Actinopteri; Characiformes; Gasteropelecidae
Description: partial 16S ribosomal RNA
Rfam family: Bacterial large subunit ribosomal RNA
Source: RNAcentral